This 440-nucleotide ribosomal RNA is filed under the name uncultured archaeon. RNAcentral's name for it is "bacterial SSU rRNA". It matches the Rfam family "Archaeal small subunit ribosomal RNA", at positions 19 to 464 of the family's 1478-position model. The record is from RNAcentral.
GGACCUGACUGCUAUCGGAUUGAUACUAAGCCAUGCGAGUCAUUGUAGCAAUACAAGGCAUACGGCUCAGUAACGCGUAGUCAACCUAACCUAUGGACGGGAAUAACCUCGGGAAACUGAGAAUAAUGCCCGAUAGAACAUUAUGCCUGGAAUGGUUUAUGUUCCAAAUGAUUUAUCGCCGUAGGAUGGGACUGCGGCCUAUCAGUUUGUUGGUGAGGUAAUGGCCCACCAAGACUAUUACAGGUACGGGCUCUGAGAGGAGUAGCCCGGAGAUGGGUACUGAGACACGGACCCAGGCCCUAUGGGGCGCAGCAGGCGAGAAAACUUUGCAAUGUGCGAAAGCACGACAAGGUUAAUCCGAGUGGUUUCUGCUAAAGAAACCUUUUGUCAGUCCUAGAAACACUGAUGAAUAAGGGGUGGGCGAGUUCUGGUGUCAAGCG